GAUGAACGCUGGCGGCGUGCAUAACACAUUCAAGUCGAACGAGGUAGCAAUACCUAGUGGCGGACAGGUGAGUAACGCGUGAGCAACCUGCCCUUGUGUGGGGGAUACCGUCUGGAAACGGACGUUAAUACCGCAUAACAUAGCGGAAUCGCAUGGUUCUGCUAUCAAAGAUUUAUUGCGCAAGGAUGGGCUCGCGUUGGAUUAGAUAGUUGGUGAGGUAACGGCCCCACCAAGUCUGCGAUCCAUAGCCGGACUGAGAGGUUGAACGGCCACAUUGGAACUGAGAUACGGUCCAGACUCCUACGGGAGGCAGCAGUGGGGAAUAUUGGGCAAUGGGCGAAAGCCUGACCCAGCGACGCCGCGUGAAGGAAGAAGGUCUUCGGAUUGUAAACUUCUUUUAUCAGGGACGAAUACUGACGGUACCUGAUGAAUAAGCCACGGCUAACUACGUG
This 452-nucleotide ribosomal RNA is filed under the name uncultured bacterium. RNAcentral's name for it is "bacterial SSU rRNA". It matches the Rfam family "Bacterial small subunit ribosomal RNA", at positions 28 to 507 of the family's 1533-position model. The record is from RNAcentral.